RNAcentral lists this ribosomal RNA (301 nucleotides) under uncultured bacterium. Its description in RNAcentral is "partial 16S ribosomal RNA". It matches the Rfam family "Bacterial small subunit ribosomal RNA", at positions 509 to 809 of the family's 1533-position model. The record is from RNAcentral.
CAGUAGCCGCGGUAAUACGAAGGGGGCUAGCGUUGCUCGGAAUGACUGGGCGUAAAGGGCGCGUAGGCGGCGGCCAAAGUCAGGCGUGAAAUUCCCGGGCUCAACCUGGGGGCUGCGUUUGAUACUUGGUUGCUUGAGUGGGGAAGAGGGUCGUGGAAUUCCCAGUGUAGAGGUGAAAUUCGUAGAUAUUGGGAAGAACACCGGUGGCGAAGGCGGCGACCUGGUCCUUUACUGACGCUGAGGCGCGAAAGCGUGGGGAGCAAACAGGAUUAGAGACCCCAGUAGUCCCUGUCUCUUAUAA